Molecule: ribosomal RNA, 767 nt
Filed under: uncultured Granulicatella sp.
Lineage: Bacteria; Bacillati; Bacillota; Bacilli; Lactobacillales; Carnobacteriaceae
Description: bacterial SSU rRNA
Rfam family: Bacterial small subunit ribosomal RNA
Source: RNAcentral
GACGAACGCUGGCGGCGUGCCUAAUACAUGCAAGUCGAACGAGAGCGACCGGUGCUUGCACUGGUCAAUCUAGUGGCGAACGGGUGAGUAACACGUGGGUAACCUGCCCAUCAGAGGGGGGUAACAUCCGGAAACGGAUGCUAAAACCGCAUAGGUCUUCGAGCCGCAUGGCUUGAAGAGGAAAAGAGGCGCAAGCUUCUGCUGAUGGAUGGACCCGCGGUGCAUUAGCUAGUUGGUGAGGUAACGGCUCACCAAGGCCGUGAUGCAUAGCCGACCUGAGAGGGUGAUCGGCCACAUUGGGACUGAGACACGGCCCAAACUCCUACGGGAGGCAGCAGUAGGGAAUCUUCCGCAAUGGACGCAAGUCUGACGGAGCAACGCCGCGUGAGUGAAGAAGGUUUUCGGAUUGUAAAACUCUGUUGUUAGAGAAGAACAAGUGCUAGAGUAACUGUUGGCGCCUUGACGGUAUCUAACCAGAAAGCCACGGCUAACUACGUGCCAGCAGCCGCGGUAAUACGUAGGUGGCAAGCGUUGUCCGGAUUUAUUGGGCGUAAAGCGAGCGCAGGCGGUUCCUUAAGUCUGAUGUGAAAGCCCCCGGCUCAACCGGGGAGGGUCAUUGGAAACUGGGGAACUUGAGUGCAGAAGAGGAGAGUGGAAUUCCAUGUGUAGCGGUGAAAUGCGUAGAUAUAUGGAGGAACACCAGUGGCGAAGGCGACUCUCUGGUCUGUAACUGACGCUGAGGCUCGAAAGCGUGGGUAGCAAACAGG